RNAcentral lists this ribosomal RNA (645 nucleotides) under Triticum aestivum (bread wheat). RNAcentral describes it as "partial small subunit ribosomal RNA". Lineage: Eukaryota; Viridiplantae; Streptophyta; Magnoliopsida; Poales; Poaceae. The record is from RNAcentral.
AUGGAUGCUAAGGAAAAAAGAAGAAAGAGAGAUAGAGAGCGGUAUGCACGCAUGACAGAUGAAGUCUGGCAGGAGAAACUCAAAAAACGCCGUGAAGCCUAUCAUUGAAAGAAAGAUUCAGAAAAGAGACAAGAACAAAACGCAGCCAAAAGCGCACAAGAAAAACAAAAAUAUGCAAGUAUGCAACCAGAACAGAAGAAAGCAAGAAAGGAACAAAUUGUAGCUCGUCGUCAAUUGAAUCGCAGCACACCAUGCAAAGAUUCAAUUGCAAUGGAAAACCCUGAAUAUGUCGCAACCGAACAGGAGGUUGCGACUUCUGAAUCUACUGUCAAACACAGGUAUCAUGUGGCAGCAGGAAAAAGGCAAAAAUUACUACACCAUCGUAACAAAGAAUUCUCGAGAAGACGGAGGCAAACUGUUGACGUAUCAUCACAAGAAGAUGCAUCCAUCAUGGAAACCUGUGACAAAAACAAUCAAACUCUAGAGCAGCCACAAGUGAUGACUUACGGUAAUAAUCUCGAUUUUAUACUCGCAUUCCAAGUAAAUGUUAAUCCGUCUGUACAACUUACCACCUAUUCUGGACAGACAUCCCCUCCUCAAUGUUUCCAAGCAUCAGAGAAACCAAUGCACCAACACAAUCAUUAG